AAAAUUACCUGGUAGGGGAGAUACCAUGAUCAUGAAGGUGGUUUUUCCAGGUUGAGGGUCAUCCAUUGCACUGUGGAUGUGCUGGCCCCUGUGAUUUCUCCAAAUGUGGGAAACUGGACUGCAAAAUUUGUGGUAGAGGGGGGCUGCAUUUGUGCUUUCCCCUG
Callithrix jacchus (white-tufted-ear marmoset) is the source of this 164-nucleotide small nuclear RNA. Its record names the gene U1. It matches the Rfam family "U1 spliceosomal RNA". Rfam says of the family: U1 is a small nuclear RNA (snRNA) component of the spliceosome (involved in pre-mRNA splicing). Its 5' end forms complementary base pairs with the 5' splice junction, thus defining the 5' donor site of an intron. The record is from Ensembl. Lineage: Eukaryota; Metazoa; Chordata; Mammalia; Primates; Cebidae.